RNAcentral lists this ribosomal RNA (382 nucleotides) under uncultured Hydrogenophaga sp. RNAcentral describes it as "bacterial SSU rRNA". It matches the Rfam family "Bacterial small subunit ribosomal RNA", at positions 976 to 1362 of the family's 1533-position model. Lineage: Bacteria; Pseudomonadati; Pseudomonadota; Betaproteobacteria; Burkholderiales; Comamonadaceae. The record is from RNAcentral.
CACCUUUGACAUGUACGGAAGUUGCCAGAGAUGGCUUCGUGCUCGAAAGAGAGCCGUAACACAGGUGCUGCAUGGCUGUCGUCAGCUCGUGUCGUGAGAUGUUGGGUUAAGUCCCGCAACGAGCGCAACCCUUGUCAUUAGUUGCUACGAAAGGGCACUCUAAUGAGACUGCCGGUGACAAACCGGAGGAAGGUGGGGAUGACGUCAAGUCCUCAUGGCCCUUAUAGGUGGGGCUACACACGUCAUACAAUGGCUGGUACAAAGGGUUGCCAACCCGCGAGGGGGAGCCAAUCCCAUAAAGCCAGUCGUAGUCCGGAUCGCAGUCUGCAACUCGACUGCGUGAAGUCGGAAUCGCUAGUAAUCGUGGAUCAGCAUGUCACGG